RNAcentral lists this ribosomal RNA (622 nucleotides) under Clostridioides difficile. Its description in RNAcentral is "bacterial SSU rRNA". It matches the Rfam family "Bacterial small subunit ribosomal RNA", at positions 148 to 789 of the family's 1533-position model. The record is from RNAcentral. Lineage: Bacteria; Bacillati; Bacillota; Clostridia; Peptostreptococcales; Peptostreptococcaceae.
AUACCGAACACUAUGGUAGUAUGGGUUAAUAUAUUGUCGCGUCGUCACUUGAAUACCAAAGGUGAGCCAGUACAGGAUGGACCCGCGUCUGAUUAGCUAGUUGGUAAGGUAACGGCUCACCAAGGCGACGACCAGUAGCCGACCUGAGAGGGUGAUCGGCCACAUGGGAACGGAGACACGGUCCAAACUCCUACGGGAGGCAGCAGUGGGGAAUAUUGCACAAUGGGCGAAAGCCUGAUGCAGCAACGCCGCGUGAGUGAUGAAGGCCUUCGGGUCGUAAAACUCUGUCCUCAAGGAAGAUAAUGACGGUACUUGAGGAGGAAGCCCCGGCUAACUACGUGCCAGCAGCCGCGGUAAUACGUAGGGGGCUAGCGUUAUCCGGAUUUACUGGGCGUAAAGGGUGCGUAGGCGGUCUUUCAAGUCAGGAGUGAAAGGCUACGGCUCAACCGUAGUAAGCUCUUGAAACUGGGAGACUUGAGUGCAGGAGAGGAGAGUGGAAUUCCUAGUGUAGCGGUGAAAUGCGUAGAUAUUAGGAGGAACACCAGUUGCGAAGGCGGCUCUCUGGACUGUAACUGACGCUGAGGCACGAAAGCGUGGGGAGCAAACAGGAUUAGAUACCCUG